UCUUUUUCAUUUUCUACUUUUCCUUCUCUCUCUUCUAUCAAGCUUCUUUCUUUUCUUUUUCUCUUUUAUCUCUCCCUUCUCCCGAUGCUUCAUCUUCUUCUUUUCUUUUUCUCCUUUCUCUCUCCCUUGUGUCGAUGCAUCAUCUUCCUCUUCUUCCUCUUUUUCUUUGUUCUUUGUUCAUCUUCUUCAUUUUCUGGUUAGGGCUUCUUUGAUUUGUGACAUCAACUUACAAACCGGAAUAAUACUUGCAAAGAUCUUCCAAAAACAAAUCCAGAUCCGCUAUCAAGAGUCGUAAUAAUGUUUUAUUUUAAACCAUUCAUGUGAUAUCCUUCUGAUUGUUUAAUCUUCCAAUAGUAAGACGCGGUAUGGGAUCAAAAGGACAGAAGAUAUCGAUUUUAACUAAUCCUUUUAAUGGUGUCUUUUGCUUAUGAAGAUGGACGCACUGUGGAAGGUAAGUGUUGGGAGGAAGAUAAUGGACCAGGUGCAGGAGACAUAUGCUUCUGACAUGAAUGGCAAGGAAUUUGCAUAUGAAGGGGAUACAAGUCUAUUUAUUAUCGAUUCUCAUUCUCAAAACAAGCUUAAGUUUGAGAUUGUUUUAGAGGAGGCUAGAUCUAACAGGUAGAAAUUACUAUUAUAGAGGUGUUAUGCUGACUCUUGAAAUUUGUUUUCAUAUAUUAUUGUUUUAGUUGUAUUAUAUUUUUCCUAUCAUGUUUGUAGAAAUAAUGGCAAUCUUAGUCCUGAUGGUAAUUGGGAUAAUGAGAGUGACAAAAAGAGACUCCAACGCCCGUAGCUUUGCCAAGGCAUUUCGUUUGCGAUAGUUUAUUUUGGUUAAGUGAUUAUCUUAAUAAAUUCAGUUGCAUAUUCUAUUGCAAUACCUUUUUUUUUACCUAAUCUACAAAUUUAAUAUAUAGUUUUGAAACUGAAUUUUUCUCCAAAUUGUUCUUUAGAUCCUAUAAAUCUAUGGAGUUGAUAUAUAUCUUAAUAAAUACUAUCUUUUCACAAUGUAGACAAGCUAUCACCGCCACUCCACCUCGCUAUAUCUGCUGUUGUUAUUGCUUACACUGUAGCUGCCAAAGUUCCAGUUAUAUGAUCAAUCAAAGCCUAUUUUUAUGUGUCUUCGGUUUCUAACGCGACUAAAAUAGAGAAGUGUCAGGUAGAACCGGAAAAAUUUCAUCCAUAUAAUAUAACCAACCUUAUAUGAUUCUAAUGGAGCCUAAUGAGUGAGAAAUAACAUCUACUGUACGUGAUUAAUUCUUUGAUAUCAGAUGGUUGUUUUUAAUCAAGUGCAUGCCAAAGGUAAAAAAAUAUAUCUAUCUGCUCAACUUCUUUUAACACGACUUACAUGAAUCCGUGUUGUCACAUUUACAAUCACUUUUCAAGAUACCGUGAUGAUGGGUGCUGACUAUUAUCAUAGAGAAGCUGAAAUCACGUCUCUUUUAGCAGCGGGAGACAUUCUUAUAUGAGAAAUGUAUGAGCAAACUGCUCAACUUCUGAACUGUAUGAGCAGACUAUCAAGUAUGACAAAGGUUCCUUUGUUAGUUGGAUCUUAAACCCUUUGAGUUGUCUGCAGAACUUAUAGAAAAUGGCCUUUACCACUUGGCUAGGUUCCUAGGUAUGAGAAAAACCUAUUGUGUUACUUGAAAUUUUUAAUGAAAAUUAAGAAGUGGAAAGGAGGCAUGUUGAUCAUGACUUUGGGUGUGAUGUUAUUUUUACUGUACUGUCUCAAAGGAAUUUAGCCACAAAAGCAAUCUACAAAGCAGUCAACAUACAAUUUUUUAAUAACAUUUCAUCCCCGCUAUGUAGUAGCAGUUUACGGCUGGAUCUAGAAGCUUUUGUCUCACAAAGCUCAUGAGCAUGCAGCGGUAAUAGUUUAUGGCAAAUUAUAUAUUAUCGGUGGAAGCCGUAAUGGUCGGCAUAUAGAAGCAGUAGUGUGUCCAUUAAUUUUAAAGCUUGAGGUUCUAUUGAAUAAGUAUUUCCUUUUUUUUUUGUUGACAUUUCUUGCUUGUAGAAAAAGACAAGCCACGUCUUUUAUAAUUUUUAUACUUUGUUAUGAAAUGAGCGUUCAUUAAGAAUCCAAAUGCAAUUGUAUUUGAACUAACUGUCAUGCUAAAUACAAUUUUUGUUAAGAGGGGGAUUGAUUUUGGGAUUGAAGUGGCUAUAAUGAGAGACUAUGUGUAUAUAGUGGCAUGGCAAAGAAAGGGUAAGAAGUUUAAUAAAAAUAAGUGAAAGUUUAGACAAGUCACUUACUGUGUACAUAUUAUUAUCGAUGGCGGGUAAAGUGAAAACAAGGUCUGUGGUUAAUUCAUCCUGAGGUAGGAGGGACAGUAAAUAGAGAAUUGGAGAAAAGGUAAUGGCUUGCAGGAAAUGAGGUUCGACUGUUGCUUAUCAUUUUAAAGAAUAGAUUUCAUAUUAUUGAGGGUUCUCCUUGCCAAGAAACCUGGUGGUUUUUUUUCUUUUCAUCUAAUAGGUAGCAAUAUCUCAAGUCCACUUUUCUUCCUCUUGAAAAGAAACUGACAAUUUUUUAAACUGAGAAAAAAUGCAAAUUGUUGAUGAAUUAAACGUUGUUGAAUUCCUUUUGUUAUUCAAAAGAUUAUUUAGGAGCCUUUAGGAGGCUUUUUGUGUCAAAUGUUUCUUAUGGGUCAAGUCAAAUUUGAUUGUUGAUGUAAAUAUUUUUAUAAAUGAUGUCUAUAAAAAAAAUAUAUUACUGAUCUAAAAUGUUUCAUUAUACGAGAAAAAUAUAUAUUAUUGAUUUAUGUAUUUUUAUAAACAGCGAUAUUUUUAUAUAUGAGAAAAAUUACUAUUGAUCCAACUAUUUUUGUAAAUGAUA
This is a long non-coding RNA of Vicia villosa (hairy vetch), 2827 nucleotides long. RefSeq lists it as uncharacterized. Lineage: Eukaryota; Viridiplantae; Streptophyta; Magnoliopsida; Fabales; Fabaceae. The transcript has 5 exons. The record is from RefSeq and is a predicted model, not a curated record.